GGACAGUCAUCGCCGAGUCCCCGUACGGCGCGAGCCAGGGGAGCCGGGGACCCAUGAAGUCCCUGGGGUGAAUCGGACGCCCGCGCGUGAGCGAGGGGGUCCGUAGGAGACCUUCCUGCUCCGAACCCGUCAGCUAACCCGGUAGGCGAGAGGGAAGGAAAGG
Molecule: small RNA, 163 nt
Filed under: Streptomyces sp.
Lineage: Bacteria; Bacillati; Actinomycetota; Actinomycetes; Kitasatosporales; Streptomycetaceae
Also listed under: 1 other name
Description: c-di-AMP sequence
Rfam family: c-di-AMP riboswitch aptamer (ydaO/yuaA leader)
About the family: This family represents a conserved RNA structure found upstream of the ydaO and yuaA genes in Bacillus subtilis and related genes in other bacteria.
Source: RNAcentral